UGGGGAAUUUUGGACAAUGGGGGAAACCCUGAUCCAGCCAUCCCGCGUGUGCGAUGAAGGCCUUCGGGUUGUAAAGCACUUUUGGCAGGAAAGAAACGUCAUGGGUUAAUACCCCGUGAAACUGACGGUACCUGCAGAAUAAGCACCGGCUAACUACGUGCCAGCAGCCGCGGUAAUACGUAGGGUGCCAGCGUUAAUCGGAAUUACUGGGCGUAAAGCGUGCGCAGGCGGUUCGGAAAGAAAGAUGUGAAAUCCCAGAGCUCAACUUUGGAACUGCAUUUUUAACUACCGGGCUAGAGUGUGUCAGAGGGAGGUGGAAUUCCGCGUGUAGCAGUGAAAUGCGUAGAUAUGCGGAGGAACACCGAUGGCGAAGGCAGCCUCCUGGGAUAACACUGACGCUCAUGCACGAAAGCGUGGGGAGCAAACAGG
RNAcentral lists this ribosomal RNA (429 nucleotides) under Acidobacteriota bacterium. RNAcentral's name for it is "Acidobacteria bacterium partial 16S ribosomal RNA". It matches the Rfam family "Bacterial small subunit ribosomal RNA", at positions 355 to 776 of the family's 1533-position model. The record is from RNAcentral. Lineage: Bacteria; Pseudomonadati; Acidobacteriota.